UAGCAAGAAGGAAACGUCUAGAACUUGUAAAUGUGAGCGUCGAUUUCUAGGGAUAAGACAAUAAGAUUAUUAUAUAAGAAAGAAAGAUUUGAUCUGAAUACCUAAAUUUCUUAUCGUUCAGAUUUUGGAAUAAUAACAUCAGACGAUGGUUUCGAUCUGAGGCAAGGAUGGAUUUUAUAGGCAAAAUUGUAGCAGCGAGGAAGGUAGAAAAAUCAGCCGGGGUAGAGGAAUCGACAGACGGUAGAUUUGAUGAGACACGAUCCAUCUGAAAUGGAGGUAAAUUUUAUGAGACACAAUUUCGUCGAUCCUGUCUAAAACGGAAAUAGGGGACGGAUGCUGCGGCGAAGAGAGGAGAAGAAACGAUUUAUUGUAACGGACAUGAUAAGAAGCAAGGUCGCGCGGAGGGGGAGCGAUUUACUGUAACAGACAUAAGAAGAAGCAAGGUCGUGCGGAGGCGGAGCGAUUUACUGUUUUUCGUGGAGAAUAUGCAAGGUCGCGUGUAUUGGUUCAAUUUGAUUCAGAGGUUUAGAUAGUGAACGGUUCGCAUCGGUUCAGUUUGGUCCUAUUGAGUUUAGAGGUUCAGAGAGAGACAGUUCAAUGGUUCGUUUCAGAUGUUUAGAGACAACGGUUCUAUAGGCAAAAAUGUAGCAGCGAUGAGGGUAGAAGAAUCGGCCAGGGAAGAGGAAUCGGCGGACGGUAGAUUUGAUGAGACACGAUCCAUCUGAAACGGUGGUAGAUUUUAUGAGACACGAUCUCGUCGAUCCCGUCUGAAAUAGAAAUAGGGGACAGAUGCUGCGGCGGAGAGAGGAGAAGAAAUGUUUUACUGUAACGGACAUGAGAAGAAGCAAGGUCGCAUGGAGGGAAAGGGAUUUAUUGUAACGGACAUGAGAAGAAGUAAGGUCGUGCGGAGGCGGAGCGAUUUACUGUUUUGCGUGGAGAAGAAGCAAGGUCGUGUGUAUUGGUUUGGUUUGAUUUAGAGGUUUAGAUAGUGAACGGUUCGCUUCGGUUCGGUUUGGUUCGGUUUGGUUCAGAGGUUCAGAGAGAGGUAGUUCAAUAGUUCGGUUCAGAUGUUUAGAGACAACAGUUCGGUUCGGUUCGGUUCAGAGGUUAAGAGAGAGGCAGUUCAAGACUAAAUUACCAAUCAUUCUUGAAAAUAAUAAAUGGUUAGAAAUUAUAUGUUGAUCAAAAAGGAACAAUUCAUGGCAAAGAGAACUACUAACCUGAAACCCUAGCAAGAAAGAAACGUCCAGAUCUUGUAAAGAUGAGCGUCGAUUUCUAGGGAUAAGACAAUAAGAUUAUUGCAUAAGAAAGAAAGAUUUGAUCUGAAUACCUAAAUUUCUUAUCGUUCAGAUUUUGGAUUAAUAACAUCAGAUGAUGGUUUCGAUCUGAGGCAAUGAUGGAUUUUAUAGGCAAAAUUGUAGCAGCGAGGAAGGUAAAAGAAUCGGCCACGGUAGAGGAAUCGACAAACGGUAGAUUUGAUAAGACACGAUCCAUCUGAAACGGUGGUAGAUUUUAUGAGACAUGAUCUCGUCGAUCCUGUCUAAAACGGAAAUAGGGGACGGAUGCUGCGGCGGAGAGAGGAGAAGAAACGAUUUAUUGUAACGGGCAUGAGAAGAAGCAAGGUCUCGCGCAGGGGGAGCGAUUUACUGUAACAGACAUGAGAAGAAGUAAGGUCGUGCGGAGGCAGAGCAAUUUACUAUUUUUGGUGGAGAAUAAGCAAGGUCGUGUGUAUUGGUUCAAUUUGAUUUAGAGGUUUAGAUAGUGAACAGUUCGCAUCAGUUCAGUUUGGUCCUGUUCGGUUUAGAGGUUCAGGGAGGGGCAGUUCAAUGGUUCGGUUCAGAUGUUUAAAGACAACGGUUCUAUAGGCAAAAUAGGCAAAAAUGUAGCAGCGAUGACGGUAGAAGAAUCGGCUAGCGUAGAGGAAUCGGCGGACGGUAGAUUUGAUGAGACACGAUCCAUCUGAAACGGUGGUAGAUUUUAUGCGACACGAUCUCGUCGAUCCCGUUUGAAAUAGAAAUAGGGGACGAAUACUGCGGCGAAGAGAGGAGAAGAAACGAUUUAUUGUUACAGACAUGAGAAAAAGCAAGGUCGCGCAGAGGGGAAGCGAUUUAUUGUAACGGACAUGAGAAAAAGCAAGGUCGUGCGGAGGCGGAGCGAUUUACUGUUUUGCAUUGAGAAAAAGCAAGGUCGUGUGUAUUGGUUUGGUUUGAUUUAGAGGUUUAGAUAGUGAACGGUUCGCUUCGGUUCGGUUUGGUUCGGUUUGGUUCAGAGGUUCAGAGAGAGGUAGUUCAAUGGUUCGGUUCAGAUGUUUAGAGACAACAGUUCGGUUUGGUUCAGUUCAGCGGUUCAGAGAGAGAUAGUUCAAGACUAAAUUA
RNAcentral lists this long non-coding RNA (2375 nucleotides) under Ananas comosus (pineapple). Its description in RNAcentral is "long non-coding RNA (ACOM_LNC043873)". Lineage: Eukaryota; Viridiplantae; Streptophyta; Magnoliopsida; Poales; Bromeliaceae. The record is from RNAcentral.